This is a long non-coding RNA of Pseudopipra pipra, 7982 nucleotides long. RefSeq lists it as uncharacterized. The record is from RefSeq and is a predicted model, not a curated record. Lineage: Eukaryota; Metazoa; Chordata; Aves; Passeriformes; Pipridae. The transcript has 8 exons.
CUUUGUUGAAUUUCAAACAGUUCCUCUCUGCCCAUCUCUCCAAUCUGUCAAGGUCCUUCUGAAGGGCUGCAGAGCACUGUGGGGUACCAGCCACUCCUCCCAGCUUUGUGUCAUCAGUGAACUUGCUGAGAAGGCAUCAAACCCUUCAUUCAAGUCAGUGAUGAAUAAUUUAAACAAUACCGGGCCCAGUAUUGAACCUUGGGGGACACCACUAGUGACAGGCCUCCAACUAGACCCUGUGCCACUAAUUAUGACCCUCUGGAAUAUGCCGUUCAGCCAGUUCUCAAUCCAUCCCACUGUCCACUCAUCCAAUCUACACUUCCUGAGUUUGCCUGUGAGGAUAUUGUGACAGACAGUGUCAAAAGCUUUGCUGAAUCAAGGUAGACAAUAUCCCCUGCUCUCCUUUCACCCAUCCAGGUAGUUAUUUCACCGUAGAAUGAAUCUGGCUGGUCAAGCAUAAUUUACGUUUAGUGAAUCCAUGCUGGCUAUUCCUGAUCACCUUCUUGUCAUCCAUGUGGAUAGAUAUGGCCUCCGGAAUGAGGCAUCCAUCAGCUUUCCGUGGAUUGAGGUGAAGCUGACUGGCCUGCUCCCUGGGUCCUCCUUUGAACACCGGGUGUGGACUUUUAUCAGCUCUAUAUAAUUGCCAGUGAAGAGUUCUUGCCAGCAGUUGAAGUAUCACACUCUGUUCUCUAAUUCUGACAUGGAUAUAAAUUUUCUGUGCUUGUCUGCUUAUAAGAACAAUUCUAUUUGAAAGACUCACUGUGAAGAAAAUCCAAAGGUGCUCAGAAAAUAAGCAGCAGGCUGCAGAUUGAAGAGGGGUGUCAGACAUGGGACAUUAAGCUCUUGAACCUGCACUGCUGAUCUCAGACCCCCAGCUUACCACUUUGCUUGAAAGUCUGCACUUUGCUGUGCUCGAGGGCAGGACAGCACACUUCUACCUCCAGCACAACCAAGAUCCUUAAGAGGUGGGACACUCAACUAGAGCUACCAUUUAAAACGAUCUAGGGGGUCAAAAGGAGGCCCCCCUUCAGCUCACCACCCUCCAAACCUUGUAUGCAAAGCGAUGUCAACAGUUCCAGCUAGCAGGGUGGAUAAGCUGAGAGCCAUAUUCCAAGGGAUCUACCCUCUGCAAGUGGAGUGGUUGGAAAAAGAGAUAACCCUUACAGAGAUCUUUCAGCCUGAAGCACAGAGGAUAUGUAUAUGGUUUUCCCAGCAGCCAAGUAUGAUGAAGAAGAGAAAGGGGUAUUUAGAAGAACCAUUUUCCUGAUCCAAAUCCAAAGAAUGGACAUUUAACUGGCAGGUUGAGCCAAAGCAGUUUUUUUCUUAUUGAUAGAAGCUAACCCCAAUCCUGGAAAAGUAGCAACAGCGGGAACUCACCUUCAUCUAGGGCUUGGUAUUGCAGUACUAUGUAAAGUACUAGGGGCAUGCAAAAAGACUAUGGUUGUUCAGCCAUUUAAGAUUCAAGAGACUGUAUCAGAGUCUACAACCUACACUACAACUUGCAUUCUGUACUCAGAAUUUAACACCUGGGUUCAUUCCAGGAUGGGAAGAGGCAGCACUGGGCACAGAUAAGACUAAAUCUUUAAUUUUCAUGGCUUUACUUUCCAUAUUGAUCAUUUGUAACCUCACGUCUCCCAAUACUUAUUACAUGCCGAGAAGGCAAAUUAAAACAGGCUGGCCAUGGGCAGAGUAUGGCCAUAGCUGAGGAUGGACAAGCUUUUCUCCCAGUCGCUGGGUUUUACUGCAUGCACAACGCUGCAUCCACUCUGAAGAUGAUCAAUCCCUACGCCAAUACCACUGAUCAGUGGAGUAACAGGUUUGCAUAGACCCUUACAUCUGACAGAGGAAAGCCCAUCUUCUGGGCAUGACCAUGUCAAAAAAUCAUUCUGGGGGGAAUUCCUGCAACAUUCCCUUAGGCAGAAAGGUCAGCUAGUGCCUAGCUGCCAGGUGGGCAGCACCCAGCUGACUGCCACGUCCAUUGAGUACCUGGGGCAGCAGGCACGGCCACACUGUGCUGCUUCACCCCAUCAGCACACCAAGUCCCUGAACAAGGAAGACCACUGUGUGCUUGUUAUGAGAUGCGUAAGAGGUCUUAAUCAGACAUUCAGAGAAAAACCUAAAUCAUGAACGCUCCCUACCAUUUUAUGUGGGAAGAUUAAGAAACUCUCUCUGCUGGUCACAGAAGAAAAAAUAUAUAGAAACUCUGCACGGCCUCUAGAAAAGACUUUGAGCCACCUAACAGUCUAGCAGUAAAAAGAACCACUAUCUUUUUUCCCUAUUAUUGACUACAAAAUAGCUCAGGGUUAACAAUAAGCAAAAUGAAGGUGCAAAAUACCAACCGCAUGUGCAGGCUUGAAACAAAAGUUAAAAUUAUAUCAAAUCAACAAUUACUCAUUCCCAUGGUGUUCCACCUGCCCUCAUCAGGUUAUAAAGAACAAAUGUCAGCGAUAACAUACAGGAAAAAGGUGUUCUUCUGAUAAGGAAAAUAGCUUUGUAGCAGUUCCUUUGGGGGAAAAUAAAUAGUCUUCCUUCCCUCCUUUUAAAAACAGACCAGCUGAUCUAUUACUAGUUUUGUGCAAAGUUUUGCACAACAAUGUCCUCAAACUGCUGUUAUACUUAAUUUGUGUCUUGGUAAAAUAACGUCAUAAGGUCCCAAGAUUAUUAUCUCCGUGAUUUUCAGAUAAGACUUUCAGUUUAUGUGUAAAAAUAUCUUUUUCCUAAUUGCUAGUACUGCAAACUCUUGCUUAGAGUUUGAAAGUCAAGCUGUGUUCCUUCUGUUUCAUAUAUCAACACUGCACUUGGCACUUAACAAUUGUGUUGUAAAAUGCGACUCAGAAAGGAAGAACCCCUGUAAUCUGUGCAAGCUGCCUGACUUUGCAGCACUAACAGAAGACAUCAAAGGGUAAAUUCUUUCUUUACUCAGACAGACAUGUAAGGACUAGAGACAACCAAGAAAAGCUGUUUUAUUUUUUUUUCCCCAGAUUUUAGCCCCAUUUUGUGUACCCAGACACACACUUCCAGGUGUUACAGGUUCUUCAUAGCAUCCAGGAGUUGUCCUCACAUAACGGAAUGUGUUCUGUUAUGUACCAGUUGGACACUUUGAUGCUUGGCUCUACACGCCUGCUUCCAGUCUAGGCUGGCCUCUUCCACAGAGGCAAGUUUCUUUCACUUCUGGAAGCGUAUAUGGGAGUGGAAUAAAAAGAGACUGCCAUUUCUUCUGCUAGCUGACAGGGAAAAGUGUUAUUACCUACUGUGAUCCCAGUAUUCAGAACAGUAUUUAGCAUUUUCCUGUGACAGAGAGAUACACACAAGCAUGUGUUUCUGUUAAUAUGGGGAAAAAAGCCAAAUGAAAUGCUGAUAAUGAUAUCAGGGAAAAAAAUAGGAGAGCUGGUCUUCAAGCUCAUUCUAGGUCUGUGACUACAGUUUUAGCACUAAAGGGAACAUCAGAAAAAAAACUAUCCCAGCAUCUAAAUAUUCAACUUCAAGAGUAUGAGCCAUAAAAGUCCUGUCUUUCACCUACCUUGGUUGAGGUGAGCCUGGCACAUACUCAGACAAUUCAGAAUUCAUAUGCUUAAGUCCCCUAAAGCCAAGAAACCUAGGUAAAUGAAAUGUGCCAGUACAGUUCUGUGGCAGUGAGGCCAACUGGCAAGGAAUGUCCCACCUUCAUAAAGUUGAGCCUUCUCAUGCACCAAGACAGAAGACCACAUACAAACUCCCUCCCAGCAGUGGACUCUAUUAUCAUGCUAGCUCCUGAACUGUGCUGAGGAAUUCUUUGAGAGUCAGUAAAGCAGGCAGGAACAGCUCUAAAAGAGUACAGCCAUUCCAUUCAGAUACCCAAGAACACCACUGGAUGCUGUUUACAAGGAUGAACCUAAUCUGGGGGUUUGAAUAGACAAAUGAGCUUAAGUAUACAGAAGUACAAGUUGAGUACACAGAGGAGCAACCGCUAACACCUUCACUCCAACCUGCUGUUCAGUGAUUCUUUAAUUAAAAAAAAAGAAUCCUGAGAGCAGACUAGAGAAGAAAGGUCCUCAUACUUAACCAGCCAUGCUCCCUGUCAGCUGAGACAAUCAGGCUCCUUUUCCGACCCAGGGAACCAUGUCCUCCUAGUUGCAUAAUGGCCCAGCCUCAAUAGGUUGCUCACAGCACCCACUAUUUUUUUAGCAUGUUCAUGGUGUAUCAGCACACAGGGCUUUGAACUCCCUCAGGCUAAGGAGAAUAUUGACCCAUAUGUCACGACUUUGGGGCAAGGGUUCUGGAAUACCAGAUAAAGCCGGGCAUCACCUACCGCCUCUCAUGCUGUGCUGUAAAAAUAAACAACAGAGUGGCUGGCUGAAAACAGGAUGGCACAGAUGCCUGUGGUGUCCUAAGCAAUGAAAUCUAAAAAGAUAAGCCUCUAGCUGAAGGCUGCAGUGAAGCCACAAAGUCUGACUGUGGCUUUAUGUCCUUCUAAGCAUCCUAAACUCCUCAACUGUGCAGUGGAUAUAAAGGUUUUUAUAACAAUAUUGCUUGAAUAAAAAAAAAGGCAAAACGAUCAGACACUGUGAUAAUGGGAGUGCAGGUAGAUCUAGACUUUCAGAGUCCACAGAAAAUGAGAAGGCAUAACAAAAUUCAUUAUAGGAAAUGGCUUUACUAUGCUAGAACUUUCAGGCACAUUUUCAAUGCUGACAUGGACAUAUACUAUAGCAAAUGUACAUGGAUGAACUUUUUUCCCCUCUCCAUAAUUAUUUCCAUUUUAUAAUAGCUGCAAGAGGCUGCAGGCAAUGUAUUUUCUUGUACUUUUUGGAUGGCUGAAGUCAUCUGGUUUUUCUGAUGCUAUGCAAUUUAUUCAAGGUGUUUAACACUGAUAACCAACCACAGAUGCACUCCCUAGACUUUCCCAUUGCCACAGUAACACACUGCCUAAACCGGCCAACAAUUAUAGGGGUGUUUUUUUCCAACUAAACUGAGGAAAACACAAAAUUUUAUAUUCAUACAAAAUAUCUAUAUGAUAAGCAAAAACCCCCAAAAUAAUCAUAGAUUAAUCCCUUCUGGGUUUUGUUUAAUUUUUUAGAGCUCUGCCAAGCAGAAGGUUGAUUGUUCAUCACCAAAGGUGUUUUCUGCACAAUGUCAAUUCCUAUGAUAUUCUAUAGAUUCACACAGCUGUAUUUAUUAAAACACAGAGAGUUGAGUGUUAGUAAAUGGAUGCUUCUAACAGCUCCUGCAGAUUGGAAUAAAGUAGCUAAUGAGAAGAACUGCUCAUAUUGCCUUAUUCCUAAGGCAUGGACCAUCUUUAAGCUAGACUAUGAUGACAAAUGGUUGUUUUCUCCUUUAUAUACAUCACCUUCCAUGAUUACAGAUAUAGACGAAUAGCUCUUUGAACUGCAUCCAUAACUAACCUCAGACACUGUCUCAAGAACUUGAUUCCAGCCUUACUAGUUGAAAGCUGAGCAAAGACGAAUUGUAUUAAUUGUUUGGGAAAGCAUAUAUUCAUGUACCCAAAAAAACAAGUGUGAGAAAAAUGUAAGCAGAUCAACUUUUAAAUGCUUUGUCAAAGCAAGCCUGAAGAAUAUUAAAUGCAUUUACUUCUCUUCUUUUCCCCCUGUUUUGACCUGAUUUUUUUAUACCUUGGUAUAAUUCUACUGAAAUCAACAACCCUCUUGCAGCUGAUAUCCUUUGAAGUUCUUUCUAAUCUAAUUUUUGUUCAGAAAGAAACUAAGAAAAAAAAGAAAAAAACUUCGAACAAUGAAAUCAAACACUGGAAGUUAAAAAUGUAAGCUCCCUUUAGGUUCAUACGAGAAUAUGAGUUGGGGUAAAAGCUGACAUGAUUCAUCCAUCUUGAGAAGUACAGCCACAACUUCCACUUACACAAAGGUAUUAUCAAGGACCAGUAACAGCCUUUAUAGCAGGUAUCAAAAAACACUGCUUUCCUUAAUUUUACUUCAAGGAAAUGGAGACAAAAAAAGCCUAAAAUAUCGCUCCAAACCAAUCACUAUUGAAAAAGUAUUUUGUUUUAUAUUUAGAUCCUUUCAAUGAUUUAUCUGAUUUUCUUUCCUCUUUAAGGAAGUGGUCUUUAACAGAAUUUGAUGCAAGAAAUGUGGGAGGACAGUGUAAGUAGAGAAGUGAUAGCAUCUUCAUAGACAGCAUCAUUCUCAAGUCCCCUUGGGGGCUACAGUGCUUUGGCUUAUGUGGGUAGAUUUUCUUUCUGCUGCUUUUCCUCUUGCUUCAUGUAUUUCUAAUUUCUAAUCCCUGCUGCAGUGUCAGUGAAAAAGAAAAAGACAGCUCUUGAAGACUUUGUGGUCUUUUUAUGGUUUUUUUGGUCCAUAAGGGAGGCAGCCUUUUCCCUCUAAACUGGAUCUGUACUCAGAAGAGUCUUGAGAACUGCUUGGCUGCUCCCUGUGAUCUCAGCAGAACUGGCCCGAUAGCAGAGGCUUGGGAGCAAGCCUUGGAGGUCAGACUAUGACAGUGUCCACAUGCCCUUUGCUGCUGUGAUUAGUCUGAUAGUGUUCAUGCCUUGUAUUUCUAAAGGUAAUGAAAUAUAUAAAUACCAUGGGAGAAACUUUGCACCCGCUUAUGUCACUCUGGAGGAAGGUCACUACUUUUUGAGAUGUUAUUCCAGCUUGUAUACUUGUGUGAUUCAAAGCAGAAAUUUUCCUUACCAUUUAUUAUGGCAACAGAAAACUUACUUCAGGUAGCAAAGUGGUCCACAGUAGGAAUCUAAAUAUUAAAAUAAGACCACAAGAAUCAACUUAUCCAUACAUUAAACUAGAAAGAAUUUGAGGAAGCUGAGAAAUAAAGAGACCAGAUGGUCUUCAAAAUACAAUUAGACACCAAGAAGGUGCAGAAAAGAAACAAAAAGUAUCAUGGAUAUGAUUUUGGUGAUAACAUUGAAAGACUCUGAGAAUAUACAUUUUGUUCUGAAUCAUUUGUCAUUCUCCUUACACUCUUAACUAUAAUAGUGAGAAAGCUGUAUUUCAUGUCCUGUUUCUUACUGCAAUUAUUUUAAUAAAAUUAAUUCAUUUUUAAAAUUACAUUGUUCAAGGGCACUUAUCAAUAGAAUAUAUGACAUGGUCUCCUUUGUAAGGCUGAACAUCUCAUCUCACACACCGUGAAAGAAAAUCAGUAAGGCAUCCCAGGAUACACUAGAAUACCAACAGGAUGUUGGGAGAUUUAUAAAAUAGAAACUUGCUAUUAAAUAGACUAUAAUAUUUCAAAUUACACCAUAGCUCUAAUACAACUUGUCAAAAGCUAAUCAGUGAAAAGGUCUCAUGUAGUGUUUAGAAGACUGAAAUUUACUUCCUUCCUUCCUUUGCAUAUCACUAUCAAAAGAUUAUUCCAUUUUAAAUUUCAUUACUUUGAAUAAAAUUGGUAACUCCCUAGAAAGAAACCUCUGCUUUCUUAUAGCCUUGAGAUCUACAUUACCUUGUGGUAUACACUGGUAAUACUCCUGAUGAAGCUGAAGCAGCAAAGCACCAGAAUGAGACAAGGUCUGCUCCAGAGAGUACUGUGAUCUCUGCCUCAUCACCAAUACCAUUCUGUUUAAACAGUGCUUCUGUUUUCUUUAAGAUUUUGAUCCAGCAUGACUGGGUCCAAUCCUUGCUUUAUAAACAAGAUGCUAUAAAAUUUCAGCUAGGGAAUACUGCUGUGGGUUUUGUUUUCAUGUGGCUUAUACUUAUUUAAUGUAAAAUCAUAUCUUGGGUAGAAAUGGUGCACAGUCCUUUAAUUAACUCAGCUCUAAGUUUUGCCUGAAUGAUUAAUAAAAUGAGAAAAUUCUCUGUUCUGCUAUGAAAGCUCUUUUCUUUUGUAUUCCUUCAUUCUUUUCUAUUCUUAAACCCUUUCUUCAAAUCAGAUUCCCAAGCUGAUAUUUGUUCAUUUGGGCUCACCUAAGAACUAUAUAGUCUGUGGUUAAUCAAGUUAAUUUUCUUUUGUCACAAAACUCCAAAACAAAAUAACAACAAAAAAAGCAAUAAAAGUAACCAUUUGUUGUUGUUGUUGUUCAUGAA